CCUAAUUCCAUGGUUUUAAAUAUCUUUUCCCUAGGGCCUAGGCUCGAUAUCCAGUUGCUCACUGAACGUUGCCAUAUGGGUUCCAAAAGGCACCUCAAACUUAAUUUGUCUAAAACAAAACUCCUGUUUUUGGCAUCCCGUCUCCUGCCCGGCUUUCUCUCCCUCUGGCCUUUCCUCUUGCAGGGAAUGAAUCUCUGUUCUUCCUGGAUCCUCUUCCUUGGUAUUUCCCUCUCCUUUGCCAGCACUCCUUUCCCCAAACUAUAUCUAAUCCAGCAGCAAUAGCCUGCAUCCAAUGAUGCCUCACCCUUCUACUGAUGCAUAUGUAAUGCAAGGUGACGCGGGGACAACUUCUACUAGCUUGCUAACUAGUGUUCCCAGGGCACUCUGUUCUUCUGUUCAUUCUCCACAAAGAAACCACACUGGUCUUUCAAAAAUGUGAUUCAGUCAUUAUCUCUCAUGAACUUGGAGGCAAAGAUGUUCAACAAAAUCUUAGCAAGCUGAAUCUAGUAAUGUAUAAAAAGUUAUACACUGUGACCAUAUGGGGUUUAUUUCAGGGAUGAAAAGCUGGCUCAAUAUUAAUGAAAAUCAUAGAACAUUAUCUAUCAUGACAAGAAAACUCACUCAGUCAUAUCAAGAAAAAAAAUUGGCAAAAUUCAAUAUCCAUUCAUGAAAACUCUCAGAAAAAUAGGAAUAGAAAGAAACUAAUUAACAUGAUAAAGAGAACUUACAAAAAAAUCUGUACAUUACGGUAUACUAAAUGGUGAAAAGUGAAAUGCUUUUCCUGUAAGAGUAGGAUAGAAAUCAAGGAUGCCCACUCUCACCUCUCUUAUCCAACCUAGGACAGAAG
RNAcentral lists this long non-coding RNA (847 nucleotides) under Marmota monax (woodchuck). Lineage: Eukaryota; Metazoa; Chordata; Mammalia; Rodentia; Sciuridae. The record is from RNAcentral.